This 86-nucleotide ribosomal RNA is filed under the name Brevibacillus brevis. RNAcentral's name for it is "partial 23S ribosomal RNA". The record is from RNAcentral. Lineage: Bacteria; Bacillati; Bacillota; Bacilli; Caryophanales; Paenibacillaceae.
GAGGUUGAUAGGUUCGGUGUGGAAGCGCGGUAACGCGUGGAGCUGACGAAUACUAAUCGGUCGAGGACUUAUCCACAAAUUCUUAG